AAUAACAGACACUCAUUAGAAAUUGAAGGGUUUUUGAUAAUCAGAGAUAAGGAGAUGGCUCACUCCACGUAAAGCCCAGCAGUCGACAUUUUCCCUCCUCCCCCUCUCUAGCAGACGAAUUCGACUGCGCUGCUCCUUUCGGCCAGCUCCGGAAUCCCGGAGCUUAAAAUUUACCUACUAGAAAACAAGAUGACGCUGCUGCGCCUCUAAUGUUUGUUUCGUGAUUAUGUGUGACGUGUGAAACCCGUGUUCGAAUGUUUGUUAACUGUUUUACAUUCCAAAAGAAAAAAAGAAAAGAAAAACAUGUGGUGUGCUGUCAACUAUUAAGUGUUUUCAUCCUGUUGUGUGUUUUGGAAGUGAAGCACAUCAAAUGGAUUAGUCCAUCUGUAAUGGGUAUUCUUGUGAUCAUCGAUGACAGCUACCAAACCCACAAACUGUUAGCACAGACUAGAAGUAGAGUUUUCUACUCCUAGUCUGUGCUGUUAGCAUCCUGAAACAUUUGCAUUCCAUCAUGCUAUGCUUUAGCUCAUUUAGAGCUUGUGAAAUUUUAAUUGCAAAGGAUGUUGACCGUGUAGGAAUGUCACCAAUGGUGCAAAUCCUAUGGCUUGGAAAUUGGAUACCAUAAUAUCAUUCUGCCUAGCUUUGUGUAUUCAUCAUCUUCUGUCAGUUUUGAUACGACAAGUGCACCAUAUUUCUUAAUGUUGUGUUGCCAAUGAAAACUACCACCAUUUCAGCAGUCUUCUUGUCUUUUCUACUAAGCUUGUCAACACACAAAGACAUGGAACUCAAAACCAUCACCUUCGGACAGCCAAGUCUUUGCCUUCUUCUGCUUAAUUGCUGGCCCUGAAGUCUUUCCAGCCUUCGGACAACAGGCAUCUAUGCCAUUUUCCUCUUCCGUUCCAUGCAAAAUUGAUCAUCAAGAUUCUAAGUUCUACCCCUUCUUCGCUUCAUCGUCGACUCGUCCUCGCCCGUCGCCCCGUCUUCUCCUCGCCCGUCGCCACGUCUUCGCCUCGUCCGUCGCCCCGUCUUCGCCACGUCCGUCGCCCCAUCUUCGCCACGUCUUCGCCACGCCCAUCGCCCCGUCUUCGCCUCGUGGUCGCCCCGCCAUCGCCUCUUCUUCGUGGUAUUGUUGAAUUUUGUAAUGUGUAGUGUUAAUUAACCCGUUGGCUGCCACCCACUUUGAUCCCUUUUUUUUUUUAGCUUGUUAGGGUCCGGCAGCGCUGUUCUGCCCAAUGGUCUAUAUGCCAUGGGUAGGACAGUUGCACAAGCCGUGUGGCGCAACGUCGAUCGUCGAGGCAAUACACCAGUAGGGACUCCCUCUUGUCGAUGCGGUGAUGGUUGCCUGGGGUGUGUAUUCCCAUAACGGCUUCCAUCAUCGUGUCAGCCCGGACUUUUCAAGUCCCCCUUGGUCGCGAUCCAUUUGAUCGCGAUGUAGCUAGCGUAGUUUAAAUGUGGCGUGGCAGCCAACGGGUUAGUUGUAUGUAUUUUUGUUUGUAUUGUAUGUUGUGUAUUGUAUUUUGAAACGUAUAAAAUAGUGGUGGAUUUGUGGGUGGAUGGUGGGACAAUAAAAUGCAUUUUCGUUAUAUUA
RNAcentral lists this long non-coding RNA (1588 nucleotides) under Daphnia magna. RNAcentral describes it as "uncharacterized LOC123466343, transcript variant X1". Lineage: Eukaryota; Metazoa; Arthropoda; Branchiopoda; Diplostraca; Daphniidae. The record is from RNAcentral.